GACGAACGCUGGCGGCGUGCCUAAUACAUGCAAGUAGAACGCUGAAGCUUGGUGCUUGCACCGAGCGGAAGAGUUGCGAACGGGUGAGUAACGCGUAGGUAACCUGCCUGGUAGCGGGGGAUAACUAUUGGAAACGAUAGCUAAUACCGCAUGAUAUUGAUUAUUGCAUGAUAGUCAAUUAAAAGGUGCAAUUGCAUCACUACCAGAUGGACCUGCGUUGUAUUAGCUAGUUGGUGAGGUAACGGCUCACCAAGGCAACGAUACAUAGCCGACCUGAGAGGGUGAUCGGCCACACUGGGACUGAGACACGGCCCAGACUCCUACGGGAGGCAGCAGUAGGGAAUCUUCGGCAAUGGACGGAAGUCUGACCGAGCAACGCCGCGUGAGUGAAGAAGGUUUUCGGAUCGUAAAGCUCUGUUGUAAGAGAAGAACGAGUGUGAGAGUGGAAAGUUUACACUGU
This 460-nucleotide ribosomal RNA is filed under the name Streptococcus sp. oral taxon 070. RNAcentral describes it as "bacterial SSU rRNA". It matches the Rfam family "Bacterial small subunit ribosomal RNA", at positions 28 to 472 of the family's 1533-position model. The record is from RNAcentral. Lineage: Bacteria; Bacillati; Bacillota; Bacilli; Lactobacillales; Streptococcaceae.